AAAAUAACGCGCAACGCACGGUUAUUUUUUUUCCAAUUUUUUUCGUACGGGCGCCGACUCGUCGAUCGAGCGUCAGCGUAAGCUUCUCUCCUCCGCCCGUCACCCUGAAGCUGGUUAUAAGCGGGCCCGUUAGCGAGAGCGAGCCGGGUCCCGCAUAGCGGUGACGGAGAGGAAAUUUGGCCGCCGCCGAGAGCAAGGCGGCGUCGCGGACGUCCCGAGACGAACACGGACAACGGCGCGGCUUGUGCUUAAGACCACGGGGCCACCGGGCGCAACACGCAAACCGCCGAGCGAGCGAUUCGGUGAGCGCCGGAUUUUACGGCCGCGAAGGUCCAGAGCGCGUCGCAAGAGCAAGCGACGCGAUUGUUUUGACACUAGCCGACCCUCACACAGACGAACUCUAUCAUGACCCUUUCAUCUCGCUUCUCGUUUGGGUCUUUGCUCCCCUUGUUGUGGGGUCUCUGGUAGUGCUGUCGGGCAGCAACACCGGACCCUCUCCACC
This 502-nucleotide unclassified non-coding RNA is filed under the name Ampullaceana balthica. Its description in RNAcentral is "sequence contains ITS1, 5.8S rRNA gene, ITS2". The record is from RNAcentral. Lineage: Eukaryota; Metazoa; Mollusca; Gastropoda; Lymnaeidae.